GGAGGAUCACUAUCGUAGGGCUUCGGCCCUGUCGAGAUAGAACCCUUGCCUUUUUGAGUACCUUUCGUUUCCUCGGCAGGCUCGCCUGCCAAUGGGGACCACAAAAACACUUUGCAGUACCUGUAACAGUCUGAACAAACAAAACAAAAAUUAAAACUUUCAACAACGGAUCUCUUGGUUCUGGCAUCGAUGAAGAACGCAGCGAAAUGCGAUAAGUAGUGUGAAUUGCAGAAUUCAGUGAAUCAUCGAAUCUUUGAACGCACAUUGCGCCCUUUGGUAUUCCUUAGGGCAUGCCUGUUCGAGCGUCAUUUAAACCUUCAAGCUAAGCUUGGUGUUGGGUGACUGUCCGCUUCACUGCGGACUCGCCUCAAAAUUAUUGGCGGCCGGUACAUUGGCUUCGAGCGCAGCAGAAACGCGAACUCGGGCCCGUCGUAUUGGCUCCCAGAAGCUAUCUUCACAAUUUUGACCUCGGAUCAGGUAGGGAUACCCGCUGAACUUAAGCAUAUCAAUAAGCGGAGGA
Molecule: ribosomal RNA, 520 nt
Filed under: uncultured Pleosporales
Lineage: Eukaryota; Fungi; Ascomycota; Dothideomycetes; Pleosporales
Description: eukaryotic LSU rRNA
Rfam family: 5.8S ribosomal RNA (bases 155-308)
Source: RNAcentral